AACAAAAACAUGUCCUUUUGAGAAUGAAUUUAAGGUCGGGCCUGCCCCCUGAAUGUAUUUAAAGGGCCGCGGUAUUUUGACCGUGCAAAGGUAGCAUAAUCAUUAGUCUUUUAAUUGAAGGCUGGAAUGAAUGGUUUGACGAGGCACUAACUGUCUCUGUAUAAUAAAAUAGAAUUUAACUUUUGAGUUAAAAGGCUUAAAUAAUUGUAAAAGACGAGAAGACCCUAUAGAGCUUUAUAUAAUGUUGUAGUUAUUAUGUAUAGGAGUAUUGAUUUUAAUUAUAUAAUUGUAUUUUGUUGGGGUGACAUGAACAUAAAAUAAACUCUUUAUAAUUUUGUACAUUGGUUUAUGAAUAAAUGAUCCAUUAGUAGUGAUUAGAAGAAAAAGUUACCUUACGGAU
RNAcentral lists this ribosomal RNA (400 nucleotides) under Antaxius pedestris. Its description in RNAcentral is "partial 16S ribosomal RNA". The stretch from base 1 to 200 matches the Rfam family "Archaeal large subunit ribosomal RNA", at positions 1898 to 2143 of the family's 2987-position model. Lineage: Eukaryota; Metazoa; Arthropoda; Insecta; Orthoptera; Tettigoniidae. The record is from RNAcentral.